This 99-nucleotide signal recognition particle RNA is filed under the name bacterium. Its description in RNAcentral is "signal recognition particle sRNA small type". It matches the Rfam family "Bacterial small signal recognition particle RNA". Rfam says of the family: The signal recognition particle (SRP) is a universally conserved ribonucleoprotein involved in the co-translational targeting of proteins to membranes. The record is from RNAcentral.
GUAAUCCGACGACACGGUAUUGAGGUUGAGAACCCCGCCAGGGUCGAAAGGCAGCAACGGUAUCAAUUCAAGGUGCGCGUGUCUUAAUCGGAUUGCUCU